Molecule: ribosomal RNA, 459 nt
Filed under: uncultured bacterium
Lineage: Bacteria
Description: partial 16S ribosomal RNA
Rfam family: Bacterial small subunit ribosomal RNA
Source: RNAcentral
CCUACGGGUGGCUGCAGUGAGGAAUAUUGGUCAAUGGCCGGAAGGCUGAACCAGCCAUGCCGCGUGAAGUUCAGUGCCCUAUGGGCGUUAAACUUCUUUUGUGCGGGAGCAAUAAUGGUCACGUGUGGCCAGAAGAGAGUACCGUACGAAUAAGCAUCGGCUAAACCCGUGCCAGCAGCCGCGGUAAUACGGAGGAUCCGAGCGUUAUCCGGAUUUAUUGGGUUUAAAGGGAGCGUAGAUGGGUUGUUAAGUCAGUUGUGAAAGUUUGCGGCUCAACCGUAAAAUUGCAAUUGAUACUGGCAGCCUUGAGUACAGUAGAGGUAGGCGGAAUUCGGGGUGUAGCGGUGAAAUGCUUAGAUAUCACGAAGAACUCCGAUUGCGAAGGCAGCCUACUAAACUGCCACUGACGUUGAGGCUCGAAAGUGUGGGUAUCAAACAGGAUUAGAUACCCGUGUAGUC